Molecule: long non-coding RNA, 1262 nt
Organism: Protopterus annectens (West African lungfish)
Lineage: Eukaryota; Metazoa; Chordata; Ceratodontiformes; Protopteridae
Exons: 2
Source: RefSeq, a predicted model, not a curated record
CCACACCAGGAGGAUGUAACUGGUAUGACAGUUCCUCUGUUUCAUACAUGUUAGUUUUGAAACUUCUCUCGGUGUCCUCCAUUAAUAUUGUGUCCUUCUACACCUGCGCAGGACAACUGCCAUCUGCACAUCAGCCUCAUCCAACUGUAGUUCUGGCUGAUGGCUAUCAUCGUCUGCCGCAGAAUGUCAUGACUGUACUUUUUAUCAUCUCCAAGCAGUGUCUUCAGUAGUUUCCAGAAAUGUCUGGAUUGCUCCAGUAGAAAGUACAUACACUUCAUUAUCAUAAGAGACAAAGAAGGCAAAGUGGAGUCAAGAGUCUAGCAUCCAUGGAAACAGUGGAUCUACAUUGGUGGACAGCUGAGGGGACCCUUUCUAGAUUAUAUUGUCCAGAAGUACAGCUGUAAAUCAUAUUAGAGCUAUAUAUGUGUGCAUCUCUCCAUGAUUUUCAGAAGUUAGUUAGUGCCCUACCUUCUUGUUGAUAGUAGUAGCUUACUGUACCUUUAUUUUUCUCCAGAGAUUAUACGAUAAAAAAUAAAUUUGACUGCUCUAUACCCAGGAAUGGAGACAUUCCUGUGCUGCUCAGACAUUCUCCCACAGGCAGCCAGCUGGUGACUAGAGCUGGUGCCGGACUUAAUUGACCAACAUGAUGACUAGACAAUAAAAUGAUGUGCUAAUGCUCUGUGCAUAAAAUAGAACCACUAUUUUAAGAGUUAGAGGUACUAAGCAGGACACUGUUUAUCUCCAGCUAUGGUCAGCAAGAUUAUGUAGCAAUAAAAGCCAUCUUAACAGUAACAUCUCUAGACACAAUAGUAUAACAGUGACAUUUUUUUCUUUAUCAUCUGGAAUUCUUGAUAUUCAAGGACUCCAGUGUCUCACUCAUGAAUCCUACCAAUAUUACGUACACACUCCUUAGCAGCCCCUGUGUAUACAAUCACAAUAAUUUCACACACAUAUAUACAUAGGCACACACACAUAUGCAGACACAUAUACAGACACAAACACACACACACACACACAAUUAAAAUGGUCACUGAUUAUCUGCUGUCUGGGAGUGACAUGAAUAGAAAGUGAGUCAGUUCUUCUGUUGAUUUCAGUCAAAUGAUACACACAUUCCUUUAGAAAGUUCGAGUUUUGUCACGUUCUGUGAAAUAAGACUAGGGCACAUUAACACUUAUUUUACUGUAUGACCUUUAACAGGCUACUGUAUAUAUUUACAGAAAUGAUACUAAUGAAAGUUAUACAAAUAAAACAUUUGGAUACUC